This 484-nucleotide ribosomal RNA is filed under the name uncultured bacterium. RNAcentral's name for it is "bacterial SSU rRNA". It matches the Rfam family "Bacterial small subunit ribosomal RNA", at positions 56 to 518 of the family's 1533-position model. The record is from RNAcentral.
UGCAAGUCGAGCGGUAACAGGCUUCACGUUCCUUGACACACUUGGCCUUGUAGCAAGUGUUCGGAGUCGAGGGAACAGUGAAGCUGCUGACGAGCGGCGGACGGCUGAGUAACGCGUGGGAACGGACCCCAAACUGAGGGAUAACUAGUCGAAAGGUUAGCUAAUACCGCAUGUGGUCUUCGGAUUAAAGGAUUUAUCCGGUUUGGGACUGGCCUGCGUACGAUUAGAUAGUUGGCGGGAUAAUAGCCCACCAAGUCGACGAUCGUUAGACGGUUUGAGAAGAUGAUCAUCCAGACUGGGACUGAGACACGGCCCAGACUCCUACGGGAGGCAGCAGUAGGGAAUCUUUCACAAUGGGCGAAAGCCUGAUGGAAGCAACGCCGCGUGCAGGAUGACGGCCUUCGGGUUGUAAACUGCUUUUAUAUCCGAGAAAUAUGAUGGUAAGAUAUGAAUAAGGACCGGCUAACUACGUGCCAGCAGCGGC